AUUGAACGCUGGCGGCAUGCCUUACACAUGCAAGUCGAACGGAAGCACGGGUGCUUGCACCUGGUGGCGAGUGGCGAACGGGUGAGUAAUACAUCGGAACAUGUCCUGUAGUGGGGGAUAGACCGGCGAAAGCCGGAUUAAUACCGCAUACGAUCUACGGAUGACAGGGGGGGACCUUCGGGCUUCGCGCUGUAGGGUUGGCCGAUGGCUGAUUAGCUAGUUGGUGGGGUAAAGGCCUACAAAGGCGCCGAUCAGUAGAUGAUCUGAGAGGACGACCAGCCACACGAGGACUGAGACACGGCCCAGACGCCUACGAGAGGCAGCAGUGGGGAAUGGUGGACAAUGGGCGAAAGCCUUAUCCAGCGAUGCCGCGUGUGUGAAGAAGGCCUUCGGGUUGUAAAGCACUUUUGUCCGGAAAGAAAUCCUUGGCUCUAAUACAGUCGGGGGAUGACGGUACCGGAAGAAUAAGCACCGGCUAACUACGUG
Molecule: ribosomal RNA, 486 nt
Filed under: uncultured bacterium
Lineage: Bacteria
Description: partial 16S ribosomal RNA
Rfam family: Bacterial small subunit ribosomal RNA
Source: RNAcentral